GACGAACGCUGGCGGCGUGCUUAACACAUGCAAGUCGAACGGAAAGGCUCCAGCUUGCUGGAGUGCUCGAGUGGCGAACGGGUGAGUAACACGUGGGCAAUCUGCCCUGCACUCUGGGAUAAGCCUGGGAAACUGGGUCUAAUACCGGAUAGGACCUUUCUCCUCAUGGGGUUUGGUGGAAAGUUUUUCGGUGCAGGAUGAGCCCGCGGCCUAUCAGCUUGUUGGUGGGGUAAUGGCCUACCAAGGCGACGACGGGUAGCCGGCCUGAGAGGGUGAUCGGCCACAUUGGGCCUGAGAUACGGCCCAGACUGCUACGGGAGGCAGCAGUGGGGAAUAUUGCACAAGGGGCGAAAGCCUGAUGCAGCGACGCCGCGUGAGGGAUGACGGCCUUCGGGUUGUAAACCGCUUUCAGUAGGGACGAAGCGCAAGUGACGGUACCUGCAGAAGAAGCACCGGCUAACUACGUG
Molecule: ribosomal RNA, 467 nt
Filed under: uncultured bacterium
Lineage: Bacteria
Description: partial 16S ribosomal RNA
Rfam family: Bacterial small subunit ribosomal RNA
Source: RNAcentral